CGGUGCCGCGCCCUGGGGCGGGUCUGCCCAUGGCCUGCCGGGAAAUGUAGUUUCUGAAGCCCCGCCCUUGCCGCCCCGUGGCUCGCCGGCCGGGAGCUCCAAGCAACUACAAGUUCCAUCACCCUCUGCGAGGCCUUGAUCUCUAGGCUUUUGCAGGGAAGGGAGUGGGGCGAACAUGGCUGAAGGAAGCCGAGGUGUACCAACGUGUAGCGGGGUGGGUGGCAGGCAGGACCUAGUCUCCGGCAGUGGCGGCUGCAACUUUCCAGAGUAUGAGCUUCCCGAGCUAAAUACGCGCGCUUUCCAUGUGGGCGCCUUUGGGGAGCUGUGGCGGGGCCGUCUGCGCGGGGCCGGGGACUUGUCGCUGAGGGAGCCGCCGGCAUCCGCUCUGUCCGGGAGCCGGGGGAUUGCUGACUCCGACCAGGAGGAUGCCGCGGUGGCCAGGGAUCUGGACUGCAGCCUGGAGGCGGCGGCUGAACUGAGGGCGGUGUGCGGCCUUGAUAAACUGAAAUGCCUUGAGGACGGUGAGGAUCCAGAAGUCAUUCCGGAGAAUACUGACCUGGUGACUUUGGGGGUUAGAAAAAGGUUCUUGGAACAUCGGGAAGAAACCAUUACAAUAGAUCGAGCCUGCAGACAAGAAACAUUCGUUUAUGAGAUGGAGUCACAUGCCAUAGGAAAAAAGCCUGAAAAUUCAGCAGACAUGAUUGAAGAAGGGGAGCUUAUCCUAUCUGUGAAUAUCUUGUACCCUGUUAUAUUUCAUAAGCACAAAGAACACAAACCAUACCAAACAAUGCUGGUGUUGGGCAGUCAAAAGCUCACAGAACUGAGGGAUUCAAUUCGCUGUGUCAGUGACCUCCAGAUUGGUGGUGAAUUCAGCAACACUCCUGACCAAGCCCCUGAGCACAUCAGCAAAGACCUAUACAAAUCAGCCUUCUUUUAUUUUGAAGGAACAUUUUAUAAUGAUAAAAGAUACCCGGAAUGCAGAGAUUUGAGCAGAACUAUCAUUGAGUGGUCAGAGUCCCAUGACAGAGGAUAUGGAAAGUUUCAGACUGCUAGAAUGGAAGAUUUCACCUUCAAUGACUUGUGUAUUAAACUGGGUUUUCCUUACUUAUACUGUCAUCAGGGAGACUGUGAACACGUCAUUGUCAUUACUGACAUAAGGCUUGUGCAUCAUGAUGACUGCUUGGAUAGGACACUGUAUCCCCUCCUUAUCAAGAAGCAUUGGCUGUGGACCAGAAAAUGUUUUGUUUGUAAAAUGUAUACAGCUAGAUGGGUGACGAACAAUGACAGUUUUGCGCCAGAGGACCCAUGUUUCUUUUGUGAUGUUUGCUUCCGAAUGCUCCACUAUGAUUCAGAAGGCAACAAACUGGGGGAAUUCCUUGCUUAUCCUUAUGUUGAUCCUGGAACCUUUAAUUAAGAAUAGCUACACUCACAAAAGUACCCCCUCAUGAAAUAACUGUUCUCUUGGAUGGUUACCUUUUUUCUAAGAAACGCCACUGAGGAACAGGAUCCACUUUGAACAGUCUGCUAAAGCUAACAAAAAAAAAAAUCCAAAUCACAGAUUUUUUUAUAAAGUAAUGAUUGUAUUUAAAUGUUUAUAACAUAGUUAAAUUUCAUAUUUAUUCCAAAGAGUAUUUAAUUUAGUGCUUUUUACCCAUUGAGUUGUGGUAUUUUAUAUAUUCUGACUUUAAAUCCUUUGUCAGACACACAUAUUCUUUCUCCCAAUCCAUGCCUUCCCUAUUCAUUCUCUGUCCAGAGUGUUUUUUUGCUAAAGAUAGAAUUAAUGAUACAUCAAGUAGUGGAAGUGUUUUGAAAAUGCUUUGAAGAAUGUGAGAGCUACACCUUCUACCAUGAGGCUUCCAAGGUUGUAUUUAAAUUUGACUGAAUAUCUGGAUGGCUAAGAACAGACAUUUAUAUAAAUGGAAAACUGACGAAACCUGUAAGCCUAUGUGUUUAAGAUUGACAGUGAAGUAUGUUUUAUGGACUUAAAUGCCACAAACAGUUAAGUCCGUUGGCUUGGAGAGGACAAGCACGUGUUUCUGGUAUGUCUAGUGUUCUCAUUCACUGAUUCAGUCAGUAUGCAGAUAAUCAGUAUAGAGAACUCAGAGGCUGGCUUAUGUUAUACCUAAGUUUUUACUUUCUUGUAUACAACAAUGCUAAAAUUGAGCAGAUUGAUAACAGCCAGCAAACCAUAGAUUUAAGAUAAAUGAUUUACCCAACCCUAAAAUUCCAUGGGUAAAAAUUUUGAUUCCUUUAUUUGUAAUAUUGCAUUCCUUAUAGGUCUCACAUGCAUAUGCAAGGAUAUUUUAUUUUAUUCAUUUUCAUUUCAUACUCUCAAACCUCAAAAAGUUAAUUAUUAUCAUAAUGCAUUAUUCCAUGUGUGGUGUUGAUUCAUUUUAGUGGACAAAGAAGAAACAUGCCAGUCAAAACAUUUCUGCUACUGGCAUUCUAUUAUUUGAGAAUGUUUUUCUGCUAGUUCUUAAGGUUAACCUUUUCAUCAAAGACUCAGGUACCUAUUAUUGUUUCCUGGUGAAACUGAGGAGAAAAGUUAACCAGGUUAAUCCCAGUUUGCCUGUGUGUUAUGUAUCAGUUAUACAGGUAUCCAACCAAGUUCAAAUCAAAAGAAAUUCCUAACUUUGUAUAUUUCUGGAGCUAUAAAACCCCUGAUUUAAGACAGCUUUUCUCUUUUUUCAGACAGCUUUUCUUUAUGCUUAUUUCAAUCAAAAUAACACACCUGUCAAAUUACAUGUAACACAUUAUCUAAUGAAGAUAGGCAAAUGUGAAAAUGUUGUCAUGAACAUGUCAAUCAACCUG
RNA transcript from Rhinopithecus roxellana (golden snub-nosed monkey), 2811 nucleotides. It is a transcript of the gene named small nuclear RNA activating complex polypeptide 3, with no coding region annotated. The transcript has 10 exons. NCBI's taxonomy places the organism in Eukaryota, Metazoa, Chordata, Mammalia, Primates, Cercopithecidae. The record is from RefSeq and is a predicted model, not a curated record.